UACGUAUGGUGCAAGCGUUAUCCGGAUUUACUGGGCGUAAAGGGAGCGCAGGCGGCGCGCCAAGUCUGAUGUGAAACCCCGGGGCUCAACCCCGGGACUGCAUUGGGAACUGCCCUGCUGGAGUGCCGGAGGGGCAGGCGGAAUUCCUAGUGUAGCGGUGAAAUGCGUAGAUAUUAGGAGGAACACCAGUGGCGAAGGCGGCCUGCUGGACGGUGACUGACGCUGAGGCUCGAAAGCGUGGGGAGCAAACAGG
This 253-nucleotide ribosomal RNA is filed under the name uncultured bacterium. Its description in RNAcentral is "partial 16S ribosomal RNA". It matches the Rfam family "Bacterial small subunit ribosomal RNA", at positions 524 to 776 of the family's 1533-position model. The record is from RNAcentral.